UGCAAUAGGGUACAGGUCGUAUAGUUGAUCCUGGCUCACUAUGUCGUAACUUGCUACUUUUGCCGGAGAGCGGCGGACGGGUGAGUAAUGCCUGGGGAUCUGCCCAAGUCGGGAGGGGGAUAAUUUCUACUGGGAAACCGGUUUAGCUUUAAUACCGCAUUAAGGCCCUUUACGGGGGAAAAGCCAGGGGGACCUUUUCGGGCCCUUUGCGCGGAAUGGGAUGAAACCCCAAGUUGGGAUUAAACUUAGUUGGGGAAGGUAAAUGCCUCAACCAAGGGCGACGAUCCCUUAGCUGGUUCUGAAAGGAUGAUUCAGCCACACCUGGAAAUUGAGGACACGGUCCCAGACUCCCUACGGGAAGGCAGCCAGUGGGGAAAUAUUGCACCAAUGGGAGGCCGGAAAACCCUGAUGCAGGCCAUGCCGGCGUGUGUGAAGAAAGCCUUUCGGGUUGUAAAGCACUUUCAGCGAGGAGGAAAAGGUUGGUAGCUAAUAACUGCCAGCUGUGACGUUACUCGCAGAAGAAGCACGGCUAACUCCGUGCCAGCAGCGCGGUAAUACGGAGGGUGCAAGCGUUAAUCGGAAUUACUGGGCGUAAAGCGCACGCAGGCGGUUGGAUAAGUUAGAUGUGAAAGCCCCGGGCUCAACCUGGGAAUUGCAUUUAAAACUGUCCAGCUAGAGUCUUGUAGAGGGGGGUAGAAUUCCAGGUGUAGCGGUGAAAUGCGUAGAGAUCUGGAGGAAUACCGGUGGCGAAGGCGGCCCCCUGGACAAAGACUGACGCUCAGGUGCGAAAGCGUGGGGAGCAAACAGGAUUAGAUACCCUGGUAGUCCACGCCGUAAACGAUGUCGAUUUGGAGGCUGUGUCCUUGAGACGUGGCUUCCGGAGCUAACGCGUUAAAUCGACCGCCUGGGGAGUACGGCCCGCAAGGUUAAAACUCAAAUGAAUUGACGGGGGGCCCGCCACAAGCGGUGGAACCAGUGGUUUAAAUUCGAUGCAACGCCAAAGAACCUUACCUGGCCCUUGACAUUGUCUGGAAAUCCUGCAAAAAAUACGGGAAGUGCCUUUCGGGAAUCAAAACACCAGGUGGCUGCAUGGCCUGUCCUCCACCUCCGGGUCCGUGAGAAUGUUGGGGUUAAAGUCCCCGCAACCGAGCGCCAACCCCCUGUCCCUUUGUUUGCCAGCCACGUAAUGGUGGGAAACUCCAAGGGAAGACUUGCCCGGUGAAUAAACCCGGAGGAAAGGGUGGGGGAAUGAACGUCCAAGUCAUUCAUGGGUCCCUUAACGGGCCAAGGGGCUACACAACCGUUGGCUUACAAUUGGGCCCCUUUACAGAAGGGGCUGUCCAAUAAUGUGAGGCCGAAUUCCCCAAAAAGCGGCCUCUUCGAUAAUUUCUCGGAAUCUGGAAAGUCUGGCCAACUCCCCACCCCCCCGGGAAAGUGCCCGGGAAACUCCCCUAGUAAUUACGCAAAUCAGAAUGUUGCGGUGAAUACGUUCCCGGGCCUUGUACACACCGCCCGUCACACCAUGGGAGUUGUAGCACCGGACGUCGCUCGGUAAGUCGUCACAAGGUCCCCAGUCGUAGAUUUCCCC
This 1588-nucleotide ribosomal RNA is filed under the name Aeromonas hydrophila. RNAcentral describes it as "bacterial SSU rRNA". It matches the Rfam family "Bacterial small subunit ribosomal RNA". The record is from RNAcentral. Lineage: Bacteria; Pseudomonadati; Pseudomonadota; Gammaproteobacteria; Aeromonadales; Aeromonadaceae.